Molecule: long non-coding RNA, 2648 nt
Filed under: Homo sapiens (human)
Lineage: Eukaryota; Metazoa; Chordata; Mammalia; Primates; Hominidae
Description: HSALNT0186172
Source: RNAcentral
AAGCUUUAAGACCCGGGGUGGAAUGAAACAAAAGAGGAAGGAGUCCAGGGGUGUUUUAGCGUAAUCAUGCUGGCUCAUGCCGCUGAAGGAACAGCUGGGAUUGAGAACUCACUGCUGUGAGGAAACUUGCAAUUGUAUUCCCAUCCCACAGUCACCAGUGGACAGCAGAGCUACCCAUGACAUUCUGGAUGAAAACCUCUGUACUAGAGAAUUAUUCCUUGAUAUCUAUUUAUGGAGAAUUGCUUGUGGGACACCUGUGGAUACCAAAAUUAGUGGAUGCUCAAGUCCAGUAGAAGAAAUGGAGUACUAUUUCCAUAUAAUCUAUGCAUACCAGCAGGUCUACCUCCCACCAAGCGAUCAGCCUCCGUUCUGCUGACUCCAACAGGGUGCACCCUUUCUCUAAUUAACUAAAAUGGCUAUGGAAAGCAAAGGAGGCCUUGUGUUGGGUGAACCAAUUAUUUUGAAGGGUAUUAAGUCAUCAGAUUUACUUUUAUCUUGAUUGCAUUGUGGAAAUCGUGCAUAAUUAAUGGUGGGAGCUUAUUAGGAAAAUGAUUAGGCAAAUUACACAGGUGUCGGAUGCAUUUUUUAUGAUAAAUUUGCUAGAACAAUCCUGCAAUUCCAUCUGUUCAGCUCACAUCAGAAUGUCACUCUGAAGAAAUUAAUGGUGCAGAGUUAUACAAAGUUACUACAAGCUUUGGUUGCAGAUUUAGGGGAUGGCUUUGCCAGGAAAAGCCCUUCAAUAGCAGCCUGGCCAAAGAUUCUGGGCAAAUAAGUUGGCUGGGUCCAUGGGCAAUCAAGAUUCUGGGACCUGCAAUCAAACUUGCUGCUGGCGUUUGUAAGUGUGCCUUCUACCAGGGGCUAUGGGCUGGCUGUGAGAUACACAGGUAGGUUGUUGAGAGACCUCUUCCCCUUUUCUUAGUUGUCCUACCUUCAAUCAAUCUAGCCAUGCAAAUUCCCAUAGUGAUUUGCGUGAAGCACACCAGAAGUAGCCCCCUUGGGCCUCAUUCUUAAAUUUGGGGUAAGUUGGAUCCUCACUUUGCACUUUUUUUUUUCUCCAUGGAAGAAAUUGUGGGCCAGUGGGAUCCCUCUUGGCACUGUGCUUUUGUCAGCUUGUGGGAGAGAUGGUUUCGGUAAAGUGGAACUGGUGUUCUUACCCUUUUUAAUAAAUCUUUUAUCCUUUCUGUGCCCCACCUGGGUGUUUUAACCUCUAAUCUGAAUUCUAGAGACCUCAUGAAGGUAUUUUUCCCAUGAAUAGUUGUUAAAUAAGUCUUUCUGUGAGUGAUAAAGGCUGAGGCCGCCUAUCCUACCAUCUUUAUGACCUCUUUCCCAUUUUUUAAAUCAAAGCUUAUGCCGAUUUCUUAACAACAAAGAUUGGAAGUUAAUACUCUUUUCCUGUGUAUGUGUGUGGGAUGUACAUAAACAACUAAUAAUGCUUCACUAAAUUUUUUAGAUUGCUGCAGAUUUUUUUUACUACAAAAUAUUCAGAACAGUCUAAAAUGCUGUAAAUUUGAAAGUGGAUGAAUCCAUUUUUAAAUGAUAUUUCUAUUUUCUUUCUAAAAUUUCAAAAAAUAAUAUCUUCCAAUAUUAGUACGGUGUACUUAAACAAGAUAGAACUAAAUUGUGUAGGAUAAAUUUACCAACUGAGGAGCACCUUUGACAAAAUAGUGCCUGAACAAGCUAUGUAUUGAUCUGGAGGUGUCCCAGUGCCAUAGCUGAAAGUCAGGCUUACCAAUCGACGGAAAAUGGGAAAUCUGGAAAGCAUCUAAUUCAUUGUGCAACUUUUUCUCAGUUAACCAUAUAUCCAAGGCAAACACUUGCUUCUAUUUCCUCAAAAUAGACAAGGCAAUAUGCCUGGUUGGGUUUAGUCUAAACUUAAUACUACACUUAAUUUAAUGAAUAAAUUAAGCAUGAAGAGAAGAUGAUCUCACAAUUCAAAAGCUCUAGACAUAACACUAUUUUUUACAUGUAAGAAGUGGAUUUUUUAUGUCAUUGAGGUCUUUUUUAAUAUGAAACUUGUCUGCUUUCUUAAAGUAGGAUAUGAAAGGGGGGCACAUUUUUAUGGAAGUUUUUUUUUCCUUCCAGAGAUCUGAAAGAAAUUUUGAUUAUCCAUUUUAUUCAGCAUAUUAUUAUCAAAGUAGAGUACAAAAUUAAUGUUUCCUUAUAAUUUUGCUAGUAUUUUAUAGCAUAAUUGUAAAAAUUUUAUUACUUCUAUAUAUUUUCCUAGCCAUAGUGCCAUGUUUUGGAUCCAGUCAGCUUAUCUUAUUCAAAACUGAUUAUAACUAUAAUAAUCAUAAUAAAUUUGGGUCUUUCUAAGGUUUUAAAGAUUCUUUACAAGCCAUGAAAAUAUGUCAUAAGUGCUAAUAAAGUGAAUCAUAAGUACUUUAUUGACUUUUUAAAUAUGUCAGAAUGCAUAAAAUGCUAAACAUAUUUAAAUGUAAACUUAUUUGCAAUGAUUUUCUUUUUCUGCCAACAAUGUAACUUUGGAAAAUCAAACAUUCUCCCUACUACAACAGUGAUAAUUCACAAAAAAGCCUGAUAUCAUCUCCAAUUCAAAGAACUCAACUGUGUUGUUUCAUCACUGACGAAAACUACAUAUUUGCAUAUAAAAAAAUGCUUCAUGGAAAAUAUAAUUUCUCUUGAGAUUUCAG